UGCCAGCAGCCGCGGUAAUACGGAGGGUGCAAGCGUUAAUCGGAAUUACUGGGCGUAAAGCGCGCGUAGGCGGUUUGACAAGUCGGAUGUGAAAUCCCAGGGCCCAACCCUGGAACUGCAUCCGAUACUGUCAGGCUAGAGUCCCGGAGAGGAUGGCGGAAUUCCCGGUGUAGGGGUGAAAUCCGUAGAUAUCGGGAGGAACACCAGUGGCGAAGGCGGCCAUCUGGACGGUGACUGACGCUGAGACUCGAAAGCGUGGGUAGCAAACAGGAUUAGAUA
RNAcentral lists this ribosomal RNA (279 nucleotides) under uncultured bacterium. RNAcentral describes it as "partial 16S ribosomal RNA". It matches the Rfam family "Bacterial small subunit ribosomal RNA", at positions 506 to 784 of the family's 1533-position model. The record is from RNAcentral.